This 1412-nucleotide long non-coding RNA is filed under the name Gallus gallus (chicken). Lineage: Eukaryota; Metazoa; Chordata; Aves; Galliformes; Phasianidae. The record is from RNAcentral.
GGGACGGCCGUUAGGCCGCCAUGUUGCCCGCGACGGGACAGGGGCUGCCCCGACAUCCCCAACCGCCCGGCGGCUUUUGUACUUUGUUUCCAGUCAGUAGUAGCGGUCCUGUUGUCUCCAAGACGUCUCAGUACUCUUCUCAUUCGUAUUGAGAUGGUGAUUUUCUUCAGAGUCUUUGUUAGACAAAGAAAACAACAUUCAGUUCCCACAGGUGUGGGAAUUAGCUCACGGCUAAGGGAAGGAUUUUGCUCAGUCAGAAUUUUACAGGAAUUUACAAAGGCUAACACGUGGAAGUUUAUUUCCAGUGAUUUCUUUUGAGAUAUGCAAAGAGUUUGGCACAUUUAGACUGAAGUCUAAAUCUUCAGGUUGCACAUGCUGUGUUCCAGUAUACGAAAGUGUUGCAGAAAAUGAGCCCAGAUAAAAGGUAAGUCUUUAAUCCAGUUCUUUAUCGUAAGAGUAGUAAAGAAGAUAAAGAAGAUUGUAACUUUGUUUGUGGCUAUCCUAUUCCACUUACUCCUUUAGUGCUAAGGGACGCCCCUAGGUCAAAUAUCCACUCCUGUCACAACAGCAGGGUGUGUGGAUUGCUGGUCUUUGAGGUCUUGGGCUGAGCUUUCAGGGUGGUUGUACAGAUCACUGAUGGUACUACAAAAGCUCCUGUGCUGAGGUGAAGAAAGGUGUGCAUGUUUUUUCUUUUAUGGCUACAUAAAACUCUGUACUGUAUAUUGGAUUUUGGGAGAGGAGCUUAAAUGCUUCCCUAAGCACUUUGUAUCCUGCAGUGGAAUAAAAAGGUCAGGCAAUAAGUCAUGUUCAGAAGGAAGACUUUAGUACAGUGGAAUUGGUUUAUUUAAUACUAACGAAAAGGUCACGUCUUUUGUUUUUUAUUCUCACAUAAAUUGAUUUUGUAAAGUUGAAGUUGGUUUAUUACCGCUUUUUUCUUUGGCUUUGCUAUGCCAGUAUUUGAGAAAAGGUCACCUUCUUAGUGGACACGUGGUAUUAUAUGGUCUAUUAAAUCUGUAUUAUUUCUGUUGAUGCUAAUGCGGUUUUUUUUCUUGGAUCUCCCUUUCCUUUUUUUUUCUCCUAACUUUGCUUUUCCCCGGUCAACCCAAUUCCAGCUGGGUGCUUUGUCACACAGUCUAGUAUUUCAGAGGUGUUUGAAUCUGAUUAAUUGCUCAAUUUGAGUUGUAGAAACUCCAAUGUCUUCGACUAGUCUGAUGUGCCAAGCUUAGAUUAACAUGGUUUUUCUCAUCCUUUGGACACUGUGAGAGCUCAAAGAGAUUCCCCCUCUAGUAUCUGUCCUUAUGGAGUAUGUGUCUGAAAACGAUGUGUCAGUAGAAGACAGUGACUAAGUACUGGUAUUCUUACUGUUGCUUUGACCUUUAAUUUCUCAACAUAAAGCUGCUUUAAGAACUGAA